RNAcentral lists this ribosomal RNA (618 nucleotides) under Triticum aestivum (bread wheat). RNAcentral's name for it is "partial small subunit ribosomal RNA". Lineage: Eukaryota; Viridiplantae; Streptophyta; Magnoliopsida; Poales; Poaceae. The record is from RNAcentral.
AUGCUGCUGUCCGUCUCCCGCUCCGCCGACAAGUUCGCCCCCCUCGCCGGCCUCCGCUCGCUGCUCGCCCCCGACCCCGUCGCCGCGGGCGUCGUGACGCGGACGAUGAUCCCCGCGUCGCCGCCGACGCGCGGCGAGGCCGAUCCGGAGGAGGGCGUCGACGAGGAGGACGAGGGCUGCUGGGUCUCGUACGGCCGGCGGGAGCCCGGACGGCGCCGCCUGCCGCCGCCGAUCCCGUCGCUGGCGGGCCGUAGCGGUCUGCGCCGGGCGCGCACCGAGGACAGGAGGCUCGUCAUCAGCAAGGUGCGCGUCAUGCGGCCGGACUACUACGUCCGAGCGCGCCGCGUGCGCGGCGGCCGCCUCCUCAUGCGCCUCGUCGAGCGCGAGGACGACUGCCCCAGCCAUCCGCUCCCGGCACCCGGCUGCGCCCGCGAAGGCGACGCUGAUCGGGCCGACGAAGCUAUGGCGGUGCAGAGAGACGUAGUCGAUGACGAGCAGGCGGCUGCGGCACCGGCGACGAUGCCCGCAGCUGGAUGCUUCGAGGACGUGGUUAAGUACCAGUACGCCAUCGGUAGCAGCCCGCUGCACCAGAUGCCCUUGCUGAGGAUGGUUCAUUGA